This 115-nucleotide transfer RNA is filed under the name Lachnospiraceae bacterium. RNAcentral's name for it is "tRNA-Asp". It matches the Rfam family "tRNA". From Rfam's summary of the family: Transfer RNA (tRNA) molecules are approximately 80 nucleotides in length. Lineage: Bacteria; Bacillati; Bacillota; Clostridia; Lachnospirales; Lachnospiraceae. The record is from RNAcentral.
AGGGCUAUAGCUCAGUUGGUAGAGCAGGAAAAAGGAGCUUUGUCAAAAGCUCUUGCAGCAACUUUACAAUGGACUGUCACUCCCCUUGUCGUUGGUUCGAAUCCAACUAGCCCUG